RNAcentral lists this ribosomal RNA (468 nucleotides) under uncultured bacterium. RNAcentral's name for it is "partial 16S ribosomal RNA". It matches the Rfam family "Bacterial small subunit ribosomal RNA", at positions 28 to 507 of the family's 1533-position model. The record is from RNAcentral.
GACGAACGCUGGCGGCGUGCUUAACACAUGCAAGUCGAACGGAAACGCCCUGCCUUUGUGGGCUGCUCGAGUUGCCAACGGGUAAGUAACACGUGAGUUCCCUGUCCUUGACUUUGGGAUAACUUCAGGCAACUUGGGCUAUUACCGGAUAGGAGUUACUGCUGCAUGGUGGGGGCUGGAUAGUUUCGGCGGUUGGUGAUGGACUAGCGGCUUAUCAGCUUGUUGGUGGGGUAGUGUCUUACCAAGGCUUUGACGGGUAGCAGGUCUGCGUGGGUGACCGGCCACGUUGGGAUGGGGAUGCGGCCCAGACUAGUACGGGAGGCAGGAGUGGGGUAUAGUGCACAAUGGGCUGAAGCCUGAUGCAGCAAUGCCGUGUGCGGGGUGACGGGCUUCGGUUUGUGAAGCGCUUUCGUCUGUGCCGAGGCGUGAGUGACGGUAAUGGGUAAAGAAGCACCGGCUAACUACGUG